AGGUAAAGACCGAUUUCCUGGGAGNNNUGUACAUUGUAAUUAGUUUAUUCUACUACUAUCAUUGCAACCUACACCUUGGACGUCAAUUUAUACAAUUUUUACCGAUCUCAAAUCAAGUAGGACUACCCGCUGAACUUAAGCAUAUCAGUAAGCGGAGGAAAAGAAACUAACAAGGAUUCCCGUAGUAACGGCGAGUGAAGUGGGAAAAGCUCAAAUUUUAAAUCUGGCACCUCUGGUGUCCGAAUUGUAUUUGAUAGAGCUUUCUUGGGGUAAUCGUCAUGGCUCAAGUCCUUUGGAAAGAGGCAUCAUAGAGGGUGAUAAUCCCGUCUAGGUCAUGAUCAAAAGCUCAAUUACAAGAAGGCUCGAAGAGUCGGGUUGUUUGGGGAUGCAGCCCAAAAUGGGAGGUACAUUUCUCCUAAAGCUAAAUAUAGGCAAGAGACCGAUAGCGAACAAGUACCGUGAGGGAAAGAUGAAAAGAACUUUGAAAAGAGAGUUAAACAGUACGUGAAAUUGUUAAAAGGGAAACGAUUGAGAUCAGUGAUGUUCCUGUAGUUUCAGGAGACACCUAACCGGGUCUCUGUAUUACUGCCUGAACGGGUUGACUCUCAUUUUUCGGCCUGGUCAAGGCUUGAGGAAAGGUGGCCUUACCUUCGGGUGACGGCUUUAUAGUCCUCUUGAGAUACAGACCGGAAGAUGAGUGAAAGGGACUCCCUUUCUCAAGGACCGUUAAACGUCCAAGUCGACAAAAUGAUCUUAACCGACC
This 763-nucleotide ribosomal RNA is filed under the name uncultured fungus. Its description in RNAcentral is "eukaryotic LSU rRNA". The stretch from base 103 to 763 matches the Rfam family "Eukaryotic large subunit ribosomal RNA", at positions 1 to 649 of the family's 3401-position model. The record is from RNAcentral. Lineage: Eukaryota; Fungi.